AUUGAACGCUGGCGGCAGGCCUAACACAUGCAAGUCGAGCGGUUGAGGGGAGCUUGCUCCCUGAUUUAACGGCGGACGGGGGAGUAAUGCCUAGGAAUCUGCCUGGUAGUCGGGGAUAACGUUCCGAAAGGAACGCUAAUACCGUAUACGACAUAAGGGAGAAAGCAGGGGACCUUCGGGCCUUGCGCUAUCAGAUGAGCCUGGGUAGGAUUACCUAGAUGGCGAGGUAAUGGCUCACCAAGGCGACGAUCCGUAACUGGUCUGAGAGGGUGAGCAGUCACACUAGAAUUGCGAGACGGUCCAGACUCCUACGGGAGGCACCAGUGCGGAAUAUUAGACUAUUGGCGAAGGCCUGAUCCAACCAAGCCGUGUGUGUGAAAGAGGUCUUCUUAUUUUAGUGCACUUUCAGUUGGGAGAACGGGCUUCUGGUUAAUCUCCUGCAGUUUUGACGUUACCAACAGAAUAAGCACCGGCUAACUUCGUG
Molecule: ribosomal RNA, 484 nt
Filed under: uncultured bacterium
Lineage: Bacteria
Description: partial 16S ribosomal RNA
Rfam family: Bacterial small subunit ribosomal RNA
Source: RNAcentral